Molecule: ribosomal RNA, 482 nt
Filed under: uncultured bacterium
Lineage: Bacteria
Description: partial 16S ribosomal RNA
Rfam family: Bacterial small subunit ribosomal RNA
Source: RNAcentral
AUUGAACGCUGGCGGCAUGCCUUACACAUGCAAGUCGAACGGUAACAGGUCUUCGGACGCUGACGAGUGGCGAACGGGUGAGUAAUGCAUCGGAACGUGCCCAGUCGUGGGGGAUAACUGCUCGAAAGAGCAGCUAAUACCGCAUACGACCUGAGGGUGAAAGCGGGGGACCGUAAGGCCUCGCGCGAUUGGAGCGGCCGAUGUCAGAUUAGCUAGUUGGUGGGGUAAAGGCCUACCAAGGCAACGAUCUGUAGUUGGUCUGAGAGGACGACCAGCCACACUGGAACUGAGACACGGCCCAGACUCCUACGGGAGGCAGCAGUGGGGAAUUUUGGACAAUGGGCGCAAGCCUGAUCCAGCAAUGCCGCGUGCAGGAAGAAGGCCUUCGGGUUGUAAACUGCUUUUGUCAGGGAAGAAAUAUUCUGGGCUAAUACCCCGGGAGGAUGACGGUACCUGAAGAAUAAGCACCGGCUAACUACGUG